GACGAACGCUGGCGGCGUGCUUAACACAUGCAAGUCGAACGGUGAAAGCGGAGCUUGCUCCGCUGGAUCAGUGGCGAACGGGUGAGUAACACGUGGGCAACCUGCCCUUCACUUCGGGAUAACUCCGGGAAACCGGGGCUAAUACCGGAUAUGACCUCUGCGGGCAUCCGCGGAGGUGGAAAGUUUUUCGGUGAAGGAUGGGCCCGCGGCCUAUCAGCUUGUUGGUGAGGUAGUGGCUCACCAAGGCGACGACGGGUAGCCGGCCUGAGAGGGCGACCGGCCACACUGGGACUGAGGCACGGCCCAGACUCCUACGGGAGGCAGCAGUGGGGAAUAUUGCGCAAUGGGCGAAAGCCUGACGAGGCGACGCCGCGUGAGGGAUGAAGGUCUUCGGAUUGUAAACCUCUUUCAGUAGGGACGAAGCGAAAGUGACGGUACCUAAAGAAGAAGCACCGGCUAACUACGUGCCAGCCGCCGCGGUAA
This 483-nucleotide ribosomal RNA is filed under the name uncultured bacterium. RNAcentral's name for it is "partial 16S ribosomal RNA". It matches the Rfam family "Bacterial small subunit ribosomal RNA", at positions 28 to 523 of the family's 1533-position model. The record is from RNAcentral.